RNAcentral lists this ribosomal RNA (503 nucleotides) under uncultured bacterium. RNAcentral describes it as "partial 16S ribosomal RNA". It matches the Rfam family "Bacterial small subunit ribosomal RNA", at positions 30 to 523 of the family's 1533-position model. The record is from RNAcentral.
AUUGAACGCUGGCGGCAGGCUUAACACAUGCAAGUCGAGCGGGGUGAUGGUGCUUGCACUAUCACUUAGCGGCGGACGGGUGAGUAAUGCUUAGGAAUCUGCCUAUUAGUGGGGGACAACAUCUCGAAAGGGAUGCUAAUACCGCAUACGUCCUACGGGAGAAAGCAGGGGAUCACUUGUGACCUUGCGCUAAUAGAUGAGCCUAAGUCGGAUUAGCUAGUUGGUGGGGUAAAGGCCUACCAAGGCGACGAUCUGUAGCGGGUCUGAGAGGAUGAUCCGCCAAACUGGGACUGAGACACGGCCCAGAUUCCUGCGGGAGGCAGCAGUGGGGAAUAUUGGACAAUGGGGGGAACCCUGAUCCAGCCAUGCCGCGUGUGUGAAGAAGGCCUUAUGGUUGUAAAGCACUUUAAGCGAGGAGGAGGCUCUUUUGGUUAAUACCCAAGAUGAGUGGACGUUACUCGCAGAAUAAGCACCGGCUAACUCCGUGCCAGCCGCCGCCGUAA